RNAcentral lists this ribosomal RNA (2167 nucleotides) under Salmonella enterica subsp. enterica serovar Enteritidis. Its description in RNAcentral is "partial 23S ribosomal RNA". It matches the Rfam family "Bacterial large subunit ribosomal RNA", at positions 655 to 2803 of the family's 2925-position model. Lineage: Bacteria; Pseudomonadati; Pseudomonadota; Gammaproteobacteria; Enterobacterales; Enterobacteriaceae. The record is from RNAcentral.
GAAUAGGGGAGCCGGAGGGAAACCGAGUCUUAAUUGGGCGUUAAGUUGCAGGGUAUAGACCCGAAACCCGGUGAUCUAGCCAUGGGCAGGUUGAAGGUUGGGUAACACUAACUGGAGGACCGAACCGACUAAUGUUGAAAAAUUAGCGGAUGACCUGUGGCUGGGGGUGAAAGGCCAAUCAAACCGGGAGAUAGCUGGUUCUCCCCGAAAGCUAUUUAGGUAGCGCCUCGUGAAUUCAUCUCCGGGGGUAGAGCACUGUUUCGGCUAGGGGGCCAUCCCGGCUUACCAACCCGAUGCAAACUGCGAAUACCGGAGAAUGUUAUCACGGGAGACACACGGCGGGUGCUAACGUCCGUCGUGAAGAGGGAAACAACCCAGACCGCCAGCUAAGGUCCCAAAGUCAUGGUUAAGUGGGAAACGAUGUGGGAAGGCCCAGACAGCCAGGAUGUUGGCUUAGAAGCAGCCAUCAUUUAAAGAAAGCGUAAUAGCUCACUGGUCGAGUCGGCCUGCGCGGAAGAUGUAACGGGGCUAAACCAUGCACCGAAGCUGCGGCAGCGACACUGUGUGUUGUUGGGUAGGGGAGCGUUCUGUAAGCCUGUGAAGGUGUGUCGUGAGGCAUGCUGGAGGUAUCAGAAGUGCGAAUGCUGACAUAAGUAACGAUAAAGCGGGUGAAAAGCCCGCUCGCCGGAAGACCAAGGGUUCCUGUCCAACGUUAAUCGGGGCAGGGUGAGUCGACCCCUAAGGCGAGGCCGAAAGGCGUAGUCGAUGGGAAACGGGUUAAUAUUCCCGUACUUGGUGUUACUGCGAAGGGGGGACGGAGAAGGCUAUGUUGGCCGGGCGACGGUUGUCCCGGUUUAAGCGUGUAGGUGUGUGUUCCAGGUAAAUCCGGUUCACUUUAACACUGAGGCGUGACGACGAGGCACUACGGUGCUGAAGCAACAAAUGCCCUGCUUCCAGGAAAAGCCUCUAAGCAUCAGGUAACAUCAAAUCGUACCCCAAACCGACACAGGUGGUCAGGUAGAGAAUACCAAGGCGCUUGAGAGAACUCGGGUGAAGGAACUAGGCAAAAUGGUGCCGUAACUUCGGGAGAAGGCACGCUGACACGUAGGUGAAGUGAUUUACUCAUGGAGCUGAAGUCAGUCGAAGAUACCAGCUGGCUGCAACUGUUUAUUAAAAACACAGCACUGUGCAAACACGAAAGUGGACGUAUACGGUGUGACGCCUGCCCGGUGCCGGAAGGUUAAUUGAUGGGGUCAGCGCAAGCGAAGCUCCUGAUCGAAGCCCCGGUAAACGGCGGCCGUAACUAUAACGGUCCUAAGGUAGCGAAAUUCCUUGUCGGGUAAGUUCCGACCUGCACGAAUGGCGUAAUGAUGGCCAGGCUGUCUCCACCCGAGACUCAGUGAAAUUGAACUCGCUGUGAAGAUGCAGUGUACCCGCGGCAAGACGGAAAGACCCCGUGAACCUUUACUAUAGCUUGACACUGAACAUUGAGCCUUGAUGUGUAGGAUAGGUGGGAGGCUUUGAAGUGUGGACGCCAGUCUGCAUGGAGCCGACCUUGAAAUACCACCCUUUAAUGUUUGAUGUUCUAACGUGGACCCGUUACCCGGGUUGCGGACAGUGUCUGGUGGGUAGUUUGACUGGGGCGGUCUCCUCCUAAAGAGUAACGGAGGAGCACGAAGGUUGGCUAAUCCUGGUCGGACAUCAGGAGGUUAGUGCAAUGGCAUAAGCCAGCUUGACUGCGAGCGUGACGGCGCGAGCAGGUGCGAAAGCAGGUCAUAGUGAUCCGGUGGUUCUGAAUGGAAGGGCCAUCGCUCAACGGAUAAAAGGUACUCCGGGGAUAACAGGCUGAUACCGCCCAAGAGUUCAUAUCGACGGCGGUGUUUGGCACCUCGAUGUCGGCUCAUCACAUCCUGGGGCUGAAGUAGGUCCCAAGGGUAUGGCUGUUCGCCAUUUAAAGUGGUACGCGAGCUGGGUUUAGAACGUCGUGAGACAGUUCGGUCCCUAUCUGCCGUGGGCGCUGGAGAACUGAGGGGGGCUGCUCCUAGUACGAGAGGACCGGAGUGGACGCAUCACUGGUGUUCGGGUUGUCAUGCCAAUGGCACUGCCCGGUAGCUAAAUGCGGAAGAGAUAAGUGCUGAAAGCAUCUAAGCACGAAACUUGCCCCGAG